Molecule: ribosomal RNA, 425 nt
Filed under: uncultured bacterium
Lineage: Bacteria
Description: partial 16S ribosomal RNA
Rfam family: Bacterial small subunit ribosomal RNA
Source: RNAcentral
GUGGGGAAUAUUGGACAAUGGGCGCAAGCCUGAUCCAGCCAUGCCGCGUGAGUGAUGAAGGUCUUAGGAUUGUAAAGCUCUUUCACCGAUGAAGAUAAUGACGGUAGUCGGAGAAGAAGCCCCGGCUAACUUCGUGCCAGCAGCCGCGGUAAUACGAAGGGGGCUAGCGUUGUUCGGAAUUACUGGGCGUAAAGCGCAUGUAGGCGGAUAUUUAAGUCAGGGGUGAAAUCCCGCAGCUCAACUGCGGAACUGCCUUUGAUACUGGGUAUCUUGAGUAUGGAAGAGGUGAGUGGAAUUCCGAGUGUAGAGGUGAAAUUCGUAGAUAUUCGGAGGAACACCAGUGGCGAAGGCGGCUCACUGGUCCAUUACUGACGCUGAGGUGCGAAAGCGUGGGGAGCAAACAGGAUUAGAUACCCCAGUAGUCC